CCUCUCGUAGAAUAGCGGUAACGCGCCCCAUCUAUCGAGUUGGGAGUCGUGAGUUCGAUUCUCACCGAGAAGA
Molecule: transfer RNA, 73 nt
Filed under: Aedes aegypti (yellow fever mosquito)
Lineage: Eukaryota; Metazoa; Arthropoda; Insecta; Diptera; Culicidae
Rfam family: tRNA
About the family: Transfer RNA (tRNA) molecules are approximately 80 nucleotides in length.
Source: Rfam by way of RNAcentral